UGCAAGUCGAGGGGUAGAGGGUGCUUGCACCCUUGAGACCGGCGCACGGGUGCGUAACGCGUAUGCAACCUACCUAUUGCAGGGGAAUAGCCCAGGGAAACUUGGAUUAAUGCCCCAUAGUCCAUAUUGAGAGCAUUUGAGAUAUGGUAAAGAUUUAUCGGCAAUAGAUGGGCAUGCGUCCCAUUAGCUAGUUGGUAUGGUAACGGCAUACCAAGGCUACGAUGGGUAGGGGCCCUGAGAGGGGGAUCCCCCACACUGGUACUGAGACACGGACCAGACUCCUACGGGAGGCAGCAGUGAGGAAUAUUGGACAAUGGGCGGGAGCCUGAUCCAGCCAUGCCGCGUGCAGGAAGACUGCCCUAUGGGUUGUAAACUGCUUUUUUACGGGAAGAAACACCCCCACGUGUGGGGGCUUGACGGUACCGUACGAAUAAGGACCGGCUAACUCCGUGCCAGCAGCCGCGGUAAUACGGAGGGUCCGAGCGUUAUCCGGAAUCAUUGGGUUUAAAGGGUCCGUAGGCGGGCGUCUAAGUCAGUGGUGAAAUCUCGCGGCUCAACCGUGAAAUUGCCAUUGAUACUGGUCGCCUUGAAUUAGUGUGAAGUGGCUAGAAUAUGUAGUGUAGCGGUGAAAUGCUUAGAUAUUACAUAGAAUACCGAUUGCGAAGGCAGGUCACUAACACUAUAUUGACGCUGAUGGACGAAAGCGUGGGGAGCGAACAGGAUUAGAUACCCUGGUAGUCCACGCCGUAAACGAUGGAUACUAGCUGUCCGGCCUGCAUUGGUAGGCUGGGUGGCCAAGCGAAAGUGAUAAGUAUCCCACCUGGGGAGUACGUUCGCAAGAAUGAAACUCAAAGGAAUUGACGGGGGCCCGCACAAGCGGUGGAGCAUGUGGUUUAAUUCGAUGAUACGCGAGGAACCUUACCAGGGCUUAAAUGUAGUCUGACAGGGGUGGAAACACCCCCUUCUUCGGACAGACUGCAAGGUGCUGCAUGGUUGUCGUCAGCUCGUGCCGUGAGGUGUCAGGUUAAGUCCUAUAACGAGCGCAACCCCUGUCGUUAGUUGCCAGCAUGUAAAGAUGGGAACUCUAACGAGACUGCCGGUGCAAACCGUGAGGAAGGUGGGGAUGACGUCAAAUCAUCACGGCCCUUACGUCCUGGGCCACACACGUGCUACAAUGGCAGGUACAAUGGGCAGCCACGCCGCAAGGCGGAGCGAAUCCACAAAACCUGUCUCAGUUCGGAUCGGGGUCUGCAACUCGACCCCGUGAAGCUGGAAUCGCUAGUAAUCGGAUAUCAGCCAUGAUCCGGUGAAUACGUUCCCGGGCCUUGUACACACCGCCCGUCAAGCCAUGGAAGCUGGAAGCACCUGAAGUCCGUCACCGCGAGGAGCGGCCU
This 1394-nucleotide ribosomal RNA is filed under the name Aequorivita sp. RNAcentral's name for it is "bacterial SSU rRNA". It matches the Rfam family "Bacterial small subunit ribosomal RNA". Lineage: Bacteria; Pseudomonadati; Bacteroidota; Flavobacteriia; Flavobacteriales; Flavobacteriaceae. The record is from RNAcentral.